This 459-nucleotide ribosomal RNA is filed under the name uncultured bacterium. Its description in RNAcentral is "partial 16S ribosomal RNA". It matches the Rfam family "Bacterial small subunit ribosomal RNA", at positions 338 to 795 of the family's 1533-position model. The record is from RNAcentral.
CCUACGGGAGGCAGCAGUGAGGAAUAUUGGUCAAUGGGGGCAACUCUGAACCAGCCAAGUAGCGUGCAGGAUGACGGCCCUAUGGAUUGUAAACCUCUUUUGUCCGGGAGUAAAAUACGCCACGCGUGGCGUAUCGAGAGUACCGCAUGAAAAAGCACCGGCUAAUUCCGUGCCAGCAGCCGCGGUAAUACGGAGGAUGCGAGCGUUAUCCGGAUUUAUUGGGUUUAAAGGGUGGGCAGGCGGAAGGUCAAGCCGGUGGUAAAAUGGGGGGGCUCAACCUGUUCGGGCCGUUGGAACUGGGUUUCUUGAGUGAGUGAGAGGUAUGCGGAAUGCGUGGUGUAGCGGUGAAAUGCAUAGAUAUCACGAAGAACUCCGAUUGCGAAGGCAGCAUACCGGCGCGCUACUGACGCUCAUGCACGAAGGUGUGGGUAUCGAACAGGAUUAGAUACCCGAGUAGUC